Molecule: small RNA, 26 nt
Filed under: Bombyx mori (domestic silkworm)
Lineage: Eukaryota; Metazoa; Arthropoda; Insecta; Lepidoptera; Bombycidae
Description: ovarian small RNA-17356
Source: RNAcentral
GGCAAACAUAUACCACGCAACGUAAC